Molecule: ribosomal RNA, 423 nt
Filed under: uncultured bacterium
Lineage: Bacteria
Description: bacterial SSU rRNA
Rfam family: Bacterial small subunit ribosomal RNA
Source: RNAcentral
UGGGGAAUAUUGCGCAAUGGACGAAAGUCUGACGCAGCGACGCCGCGUGAGCGACGAAGUCUUUCGGGAUGUAAAGCUCUGUCACGGGGAACGAUAAUGACGGUACCCCGAGAGGAAGCCCCGGCUAACUACGUGCCAGCAGCCGCGGUAAUACGUAGGGGGCAAGCGUUGUCCGGAUUUACUGGGCAUAAAGGGCGCGUAGGUGGUGUUUUAAGUCAGGUGUUAAAUUCCUCAGCUUAACUGAGGACCGCACUUGAAACUGAAAUACUAGAGAACAGGAGAGGGAAGCGGAACUCACGGUGUAGCGGUGAAAUGCGUAGAUAUCGUGGGGAACACCAGUUGCGAAGGCGGCUUCCUGGACUGCUUCUGACACUGAGGCGCGAAAGCGUGGGGAGCAAACAGGAUUAGAUACCCCGGUAGUCC